GCUGGAAAGACAGGGCAGGGGACCAUCACCAGGGAAAGACUUCAUUCUUGGAAGGACAUCGAACCGGGGGCAGGUCGGUAGUGGAGCCGCUGUUUCUUCUGCUGUAUCCAAAAGUUCUAACUCUUCGGCUUUCUGCAUUUUCAGCUCUUUCUUUUCCUGGCCUUCUCAUUGCUGGUUCCUGCACACCUCCCCUCUAUUCCUCCCCCCAAUAUAUUCGUUAGUCUAAAGGAAAUUUCUUCUUCCUAUUCCCCACACUCUCCAGUCCCCUCUCCUCCCUUAUUCCAGGCUCCAGCAUUCCUGCCUUCUCCUUGGUGCACUUGCCAUCUGCAUUAACCCCU
RNAcentral lists this long non-coding RNA (338 nucleotides) under Homo sapiens (human). Its description in RNAcentral is "lncAB385.1". Lineage: Eukaryota; Metazoa; Chordata; Mammalia; Primates; Hominidae. The record is from RNAcentral.